Long non-coding RNA from Fukomys damarensis (Damara mole-rat), 1351 nucleotides. RefSeq lists it as uncharacterized. The transcript is spliced from 5 exons. Lineage: Eukaryota; Metazoa; Chordata; Mammalia; Rodentia; Bathyergidae. The record is from RefSeq and is a predicted model, not a curated record.
CAUGUUCAAUGUCCUAGACCAAGACUGUCAGAUUUCCCUUGCCUUAAGAUGGCUGCUACAUAAAAUAGCAGCCUCCUCCUUCCCAUAAUGCUCUGCACCUUAAGAUGGCUGCCACAUGGAAUGGCAGCCUCCUUCCCAUAACGCCAUGUUAAAACAUGGCUUCUCCUACCAAAGGGCAGUUUUCUUCUUCCCAACAUGCCCCUCUUCCCACCAAGAAAGCUAACCUGAUAUUUGCUACCUCCUAGCAACUAGUGAUGUAACAAGCCCCUCCUAGUGAUGUCACAGGCUCCUCCAAUCCUUUAAUAUUACCUCACUCAACUCCACCCCAGCUCCUGCUAACUCCACCCUGCUACUAUAAAAGAAGUUCCUUGUCCCUGCCAUGUUGCUUUUCUCUCCUUUGUUCCAAGACAGCCUGGCAGAUCCUCCCCAUAAUUAAGGACAGUCUUUCCACUGUACAGACCCCCAUGGUGCAUGCAUGAUCUUUAAAAUGAAGAAUCCAUCUAAAGAAGUUAAAUGAGGGGAAAAAAUUCAAAACAGAAUACAAAUAGCAAGGUUAAAUUGAGUGCUGUUAACUCCCUGCUGACACCAACUAAUAGUGCAGAAGCAACAGCAGGAAACUGAAACAGAGCAAUCCUGAUGCAUAAAAAUCAAAGCAGCCUGAAUCACCAAAUUACCAAGAUGGAAGUCUCCACCCAAGAGAAUUGCUCAAAUACACUGCCUAUUGAUUUGUACAAAAGCCAGCAAAACUGAAGAAAACUGUUUCUUCUUGGGACUCAGGAACAAAGCUCAUCCUAGCUUUAUCCACCCUGGAUUUCUCUACACAUGUCAAUCUUCCUAGACCUGAAAGGGACUGUCUUUUCCAAGAACCUUGACACUCUUAAGAAUACUCAGCAGUGGAGCGGAACCACGAGGCGCCCAGGAUAUGAGGGAGGUAAGCACCGGCCGGGGAGACCAGGCUCCGUGGCUGCCUGCCUGGCAGGCCAGGCUGGGAGUGGAUAAAAUUGCUGAUACAAUUGCCCUCUAUAAAUUCCUGUCAGCGCCUUGGGACUUGGAAAGAAAAUGCCUGGUUUCAUAUCUAGUGAAAGUAACGGACUCUCAAGGGGUAGUCCAUCUAAGAAAAACAGACUUUGAAGUUUUUCCAGAAAAAGGAAACUAUGCGAGCCUUAGAUUUUACACUCUCAAGAAAACGAAGAAAAAGCUUGUGAAUACGGAGGACCAGAAAUUGACCAGGUUGUUCCCAAAGCACAGUCCUCACCUAUAAACUGUGAGAAGAGAGAAAACUUGCUGCCGUUUGUGGGACUGAAUAAUCUUGGCAAUACUUGUUAUCUUAAUAGUAUACUUCAGGUAUUAU